AACGAACGCUGGCGGCAUGCCUAACACAUGCAAGUCGAACGAGACCUUCGGGUCUAGUGGCGCACGGGUGCGUAACGCGUGGGAACCUGCCCUUAGGUUCGGAAUAACUCCCCGAAAGGGGUGCUAAUACCGGAUAAUGUCUUCGGACCAAAGAUUUAUCGCCUUUGGAUGGGCCCGCGUUGGAUUAGCUAGUUGGUAGGGUAAAAGCCUACCAAGGCGACGAUCCAUAGCUGGGCGGUGAGGAUGAUCAGCCACACUGGGACUGAGACACGGCCCAGACUCCUACGGGAGGCAGCAGUGGGGAAUAUUGGACAAGGGGCGAAAGCCUGAUCCAGCAAUGCCGCGUGAGUGAUGAAGGCCUUAGGGUUGUAAAGCUCUUUGACCCGGGAUGAUAAUGACAGUACCGGGAGAAUAAGCUCCGGCUAACUCCGUG
Molecule: ribosomal RNA, 433 nt
Filed under: uncultured bacterium
Lineage: Bacteria
Description: partial 16S ribosomal RNA
Rfam family: Bacterial small subunit ribosomal RNA
Source: RNAcentral